This 466-nucleotide ribosomal RNA is filed under the name uncultured bacterium. Its description in RNAcentral is "partial 16S ribosomal RNA". It matches the Rfam family "Bacterial small subunit ribosomal RNA", at positions 28 to 507 of the family's 1533-position model. The record is from RNAcentral.
GAUGAACGCUGGCGGCGUGCUUAACACAUACAAGUCGAACGGAAAGGCUCCUGCUUGCAGGGGUACUCGAGUGGCGAACGGGUGAGUAACACGUGGGUGAUCUGCCCUGCACUUCGGGAUAAGCCUGGGAAACUGGGUCUAAUACCGGAUAGGACGAUGGUUUGGAUGCCAUUGUGGAAAGUUUUUUCGGUGUGGGAUGAGCUCGCGGCCUAUCAGCUUGUUGGUGGGGUAAUGGCCUACCAAGGCGUCGACGGGUAGCCGGCCUGAGAGGGUGUACGGCCACAUUGGGACUGAGAUACGGCCCAGACUCCUACGGGAGGCAGCAGUGGGGAAUAUUGCACAAUGGGCGCAAGCCUGAUGCAGCGACGCCGCGUGGGGGAUGACGGCCUUCGGGUUGUAAACUCCUUUCGCUAGGGACGAAGCGCAAGUGACGGUACCUGGAGAAGAAGCACCGGCUAACUACGUG